GGGCCCGCACAAGCAGCGGAGCAUGUGGUUUAAUUCGAAGCAACGCGAAGAACCUUACCAGGGCUUGACAUCCCUUGAAGUGAGUGGAAACACUUACGUCCUUUUGGACAAGGAGACAGGUGGUGCAUGGUUGUCGUCAGCUCGUGUCGUGAGAUGUUGGGUUAAGUCCCGCAACGAGCGCAACCCCUAUGGUUAGUUGCCAGCAUUAAAGGUGGGAACUCUAAUCAGACUGCCGGGGAUAACUCGGAGGAAGGUGGGGACGACGUCAAAUCAUCAUGCCCCUUAUGUUCUGGGCUACACACGUGCUACAAUGGCCGGUACAGAGGGCAGCGAAGGGGAGACUCGGAGCGAAUCCCAAAAAGCCGGUCCCAGUUCGGAUUGUGGGCUGCAACCCGCCCACAUGAAGCCGGAGUUGCUAGUAAUCGCGAAUCAGCAUGUCGCGGUGAAUGCGUUCCCGGGCCUU
This 463-nucleotide ribosomal RNA is filed under the name uncultured bacterium. RNAcentral describes it as "bacterial SSU rRNA". It matches the Rfam family "Bacterial small subunit ribosomal RNA", at positions 917 to 1382 of the family's 1533-position model. The record is from RNAcentral.